RNAcentral lists this ribosomal RNA (497 nucleotides) under uncultured soil bacterium. RNAcentral's name for it is "bacterial SSU rRNA". It matches the Rfam family "Bacterial small subunit ribosomal RNA", at positions 26 to 503 of the family's 1533-position model. The record is from RNAcentral.
AGAACGAACGCUGGCGGCGUGGAUAAGACAUGCAAGUCGAACGGGAUUACUUUUGGUAGCAAUACCGAAAGUGAUUCAGUGGCGAACGGGUGCGUAACACGUGGGCAAUCUACCGAGAAGUGGGGGAUAGCUCGCCGAAAGGCGAAUUAAUACCGCAUGUGAUCAGAGGCGACAUCGCUUCGAAAUCAAAGGUGGCGCAAGCUACCGCUUUUUGAGGAGCCCGCGGCCUAUCGGCUUGUUGGUGAGGUAACGGCUCACCAAGGCAUUGACGGGUAGCUGGUCUGAGAGGACGACCAGUCACACUGGGACUGAGACACGGCCCAGACACCUACGGGUGCAGCAGUCGAGAAUUUUUUCUCAAUGGGGGAAACCCUGAAGGAGCGACGCCGCGUGGAGGAUGAAGGUCUUCGGAUUGUAAACUCCUGUCAUUUGGAACAAGGUGUGCGCGUUAACUGUGCGUCGCAUUGAUAGUACAGAAGAGAAGAGACGGCUAACGU